Molecule: non-coding RNA, 144 nt
Organism: Periconia macrospinosa
Lineage: Eukaryota; Fungi; Ascomycota; Dothideomycetes; Pleosporales; Periconiaceae
Source: the annotation of a GenBank genome assembly
UCCGAUGUGGUCCAGUGGUUAGGAUUUCUGAUUUUCACCAACUCGAGACGUGAGAAUUCUCAGACGACCCGGGGUAUGCAUUCUCCUCAAACAUAAAAAAUUAGGAACUAACGAAGAGGCGCAGUUCAAACCCCGGCAUCGGAA